Molecule: ribosomal RNA, 804 nt
Filed under: Cordyceps yaoluopingensis
Lineage: Eukaryota; Fungi; Ascomycota; Sordariomycetes; Hypocreales; Cordycipitaceae
Description: Cordyceps sp. YY-2022a partial large subunit ribosomal RNA
Rfam family: Eukaryotic large subunit ribosomal RNA
Source: RNAcentral
UGCCCCAGUAACGGCGAGUGAAGCGGCAACAGCUCAAAUUUGAAAUCUGGCCCCCGGGUCCGAGUUGUAAUUUGCAGAGGAUGCUUCGGGCGAGGUGCCUUCCGAGUUCCCUGGAACGGGACGCCACAGAGGGUGAGAGCCCCGUCUGGUCGGACACCGAGCCCGUGUGAAGCUCCUUCGAAGAGUCGAGUAGUUUGGGAAUGCUGCUCAAAAUGGGAGGUAUAUGUCUUCUAAAGCUAAAUAUUGGCCAGAGACCGAUAGCGCACAAGUAGAGUGAUCGAAAGAUGAAAAGCACUUUGAAAAGAGGGUUAAAAAGUACGUGAAAUUGUUGAAAGGGAAGCGCCCAUGACCAGACUUGGGCCCGGUGAAUCACCCGGCGUUCUCGCCGGUGCACUUUGCCGGGCACAGGCCAGCAUCAGUUUGGCGCGGGGGACAAAGGCUUCGGGAACGUGGCUCCCUCGGGAGUGUUAUAGCCCGCUGCGUAAUACCCUGCGCCGGACUGAGGUACGCGCAUCGCAAGGAUGCUGGCGUAAUGGUCAUCAGCGACCCGUCUUGAAACACGGACCAAGGAGUCGUCUUCGUAUGCGAGUGUUCGGGUGUCAAACCCCUACGCGGAAUGAAAGUGAACGCAGGUGAGAGCUUCGGCGCAUCAUCGACCGAUCCUGAUGUUCUCGGAUGGAUUUGAGUAAGAGCAUACGGGGCCGGACCCGAAAGAAGGUGAACUAUGCCUGUAUAGGGUGAAGCCAGAGGAAACUCUGGUGGAAGCUCGCAGCGGUUCUGACGUGCGAAUCGAUCGUCAAAUAU